UACAUAGGGGGCAAGCGUUAUCCGGAUUUAUUGGGUGUAAAGGGUGCGUAGACGGAGAAACAAGUUGGUUGUGAAAUCCCUCGGCUCAACUGAGGAACUGCAACCAAAACUAUUUCCCUUGAGUGUCGGAGAGGAAAGUGGAAUUCCUAGUGUAGCGGUGAAAUGCGUAGAUAUUAGGAGGAACACCGGUGGCGAAGGCAACUUUCUGGACGAUAACUGACGUUGAGGCACGAAAGUGUGGGGAGCAAACAGG
This 253-nucleotide ribosomal RNA is filed under the name uncultured bacterium. Its description in RNAcentral is "partial 16S ribosomal RNA". It matches the Rfam family "Bacterial small subunit ribosomal RNA", at positions 524 to 776 of the family's 1533-position model. The record is from RNAcentral.